Molecule: non-coding RNA, 316 nt
Organism: Phodopus roborovskii (desert hamster)
Lineage: Eukaryota; Metazoa; Chordata; Mammalia; Rodentia; Cricetidae
Product: small Cajal body-specific RNA 2
Exons: 1
Source: RefSeq, a predicted model, not a curated record
GUCUGUGGGAGGAAGCUUGCCUGGAGUGACGGAUGGUGUGGACAGCUGCAGGGCAACAUGAAAGGGGUGUGGGCUGAGUGUGUGUGUGUGUGUGUGUGUCGAGUGUGCAAGACGAGUGUGUCUACACUAUGCCCCUCCCUGUGCCUGCACCUUGAUUCUGUUUGAUCUGGUAGGUUCUGUGCCCCGCAUCUCCAGCCCACCAUCCUAAAAUGAAAAGCCAAACUCCUGUGGCUCCCCCCUCCCUGUGGUGCUGUGCUGUGAGGACCCCCAGAGCAGCAUCCGCAGGGAAAUUUUAAAAAGUGUGUAUUUAUUUUUA